CAAUAGCGUAUAUUAAAGUUGUUGCAGUUAAAAAGCUCGUAGUUGGAUUUCUGGUUGAAGCGACCGGUCGGGCGUUGAUUCGUCUGCACUGGAGUCGGUUUUGGCCAUCCUCUAGGAAAGUGCGUCUGGUAUUAAGUUAUCGGGCGUAUGAUCCUGGUCUUUUACUGUGAAAAAAUUAGAGUGUUUAAAGCAGGCCUUCGCCUUGAAUACAUUAGCAUGGAAUAAUAAGAUAGGACUUUGGUCUAUUUUGUUGGUUUGCAGACCGAAGUAAUGAUUAAUAGGGAUAGUUGGGGGUAUUUAUAUUCCGAUGUCAGAGGUGAAAUACUUAGAUUUUCGGAAGAUAAACUUAUGCGAAAGCAUUUACCAAGGAUGUUUUCAUUAA
This 382-nucleotide ribosomal RNA is filed under the name uncultured eukaryote. RNAcentral describes it as "partial 18S ribosomal RNA". It matches the Rfam family "Eukaryotic small subunit ribosomal RNA", at positions 592 to 976 of the family's 1831-position model. The record is from RNAcentral.